This 2070-nucleotide long non-coding RNA is filed under the name Macaca fascicularis (crab-eating macaque). RNAcentral describes it as "lncRNA (ENSMFAG00000061646.1)". Lineage: Eukaryota; Metazoa; Chordata; Mammalia; Primates; Cercopithecidae. The record is from RNAcentral.
UUUUUUUUUUUUUUUUUGAGACAGAGUUUCUUGUCACCCAGGCUGGAGUGCAAUGGCACUAUCUCAGUUCACUGCAACCUCCACCUCUUAGGUUCAAAUGAUUCUCCUGCCUCAGCCUCCUAGUAGCUGGGAUUACAGGUGCCCGCUAACACAUCCGGCUAAUUUUCUGUAUUUUUAGUAGAGACAGGGUUUCACCACUUUGGGUAGACAGGUCUCGAACUCCUGACCACAGGUGAUCCACCCACAUUAGCCUCCCAAGGUGCUUCCACCUGCCUCAGCCUCCCAAAGUGCUGGGAUUACAGGCAUGAGCCAUAGCGCCCGGCCUCAUGUGUUAUACAUUUCUACCCAUCAUUAGAGCAGCAGUCAAUAUACAUGAUUUGUAGGAUCAUUCGAUACCGGGUGCACCACUUAAGAUGUGUGUAUUUCCAAUUCCUUACCUAUAAACUGGAAAUAAAACUUCAUACUCUGGCUACCACACAAAGUGUUUGGGGGGUCAAAUGAGAUAAUAUGUGUUUUAAAACCUUAAAAACUGGAAAGUACUAUACAAAAAUAAGAAAUGUAAAUUAUUUUUGUAUUCUAGGAAAUUCAGAGCUACUGUUGUAAACAUCAAUAUUUGUUGGAUGCUGCAUUAAAUGAUGCCACGUGAGUUGUCUAAAUAUUCAGUGCUAAUUGUUCCUCAUUUCAUAGGCCAAUGUCCCAUGUUUUUGUGAAUUAAGUCUUUUUAGAAUCUAUGCCAUGAUUAUUUCUUAAAACGCAUAAGAAUGAAUGGGGGAGAGAAUCUGAAUAUACAGGACUAAAAUGUACAUGUAUACGUGUGUGUCUAUGCAUGUUUAUAUAUAUACAGGCAAACAGAUAUAUGCACACUCUUUUUUGUUUAUCCAUGUUUUAAUUGUAUUUAAAAAGCAGCAGUUCUCUCUCCUUUUAAAAAAAUCACCACUCUAGUUUUCAUCUAGUUAAGACUUUGGCUAUAAAUCUUAAAAUAACCUACCCUAUAUCCUCAUGUCAGGAAAAAUGCUCUAACUUCUAGUCCCGUGAGGCUUCUUCUUUCCCUGCCACCCAGAUUCAAUCCUCUAGCCCUUCUGUUUCUUCUAUACACGUGGAAGAUAAAGGCUCCAAUUCUGAGAAGAGAAGCUAUGAGAAAAAUGAAACAAUCACUGACUCCUCAGGGUUAUUUUAUUUGCACUUUCUGAGUCAUUUUGAUUCACACAGGUAAGAGUCAGGGUUUAAAUUAGACAAUUUCUGGCUGGGAAAGUUAUACUGUUCCUAAAAUGGAACGUGGAGAAAGGAGGUGUGACAAUAGUGUAAAAUGACUCAUCGUCAGCCACAAUUAGACUCUCUCCAUUGCCUGCCAAGUGCCCAACAGCCCUGGGCUCAGAGCCACACAGUCUCUGUUAAAGGCCGCCUUGGCUUCUGGUAAUCUUCCUCAGUUACUGAAAAUUAUCGAUCCUGUUUCCACACAUCUCAAUGUUAAUCGGCUUCUCCUGAAGUGUCCCCAUGGACACCAGAGACCAGCUUGACCUGUUAAAUAAGCAGAGUUGAUUCCUAUUAAUAUUUUUUCUCUUUUAAGUUGAAGAGUUAGACACCACCAACUGAGGCAACUUUUAAUUUGUUCUUAAAAUAGGACAAUCAUUUCUGUAUGACCCACCCACAUGAGUCCCUAUCACUGAUAGUGAUUCAGCAGUAUAAGUGGUACCAAGAGAGAUGGCGGGACAGGGCGAGCCUAGAUGGAAAGAAAAAAUCGCACAAGAGGUAAAAUCAUAUGGACACAUGGGCUUUAGAAUCAAAGAAUUCAAAUCCUUGAGCUAUCACUUCUCAGCUAUUUGCAAUUAUCAAUACAUUGAAAUAUAAAAUAUAGAUACUCAAUUCUCAAAAUAGUCCUCUUAAGAAUGCAAAGAAAACGUUCAUCAUGGGAUGCUGGCAUUUCUGGUUGCAGCAUAUAUGUAAUCUGCAUUUAAAAAGUAAUAAAUUUAAAAAUCCAAGGUGUCUACAAGAAAACAAUACAAGGGAACAAAUCAAUCUCUAAGUUUGCGGUUUUGGUUUUGGCUUUUGAUUUGCUAAUGCCUUAUGAAA